Molecule: unclassified non-coding RNA, 146 nt
Organism: Macaca mulatta (Rhesus monkey)
Lineage: Eukaryota; Metazoa; Chordata; Mammalia; Primates; Cercopithecidae
Rfam family: Metazoan signal recognition particle RNA
About the family: The signal recognition particle (SRP) is a universally conserved ribonucleoprotein.
Source: Ensembl
GCUGGGCAUGGUGGUGCAUGCCUGUAAUCCCAGCUACUUGGGAGGCUGAGGCAGGAGAAUCGCUUGAAUCCAGGAGGCAGUUUGCAGUGAGCUGAGAUAGCGCAACUGCAUUCCAACCUGGGCAACACAGCGAGACUCUGUCUCAA